GAGACACCUUAUGGGGUAAGACUUGCUUCAGUGAGGCUUUGGUGCUCACUGAGUCUGCUCCCUGAGUGUGUCCCU
Molecule: microRNA precursor, 75 nt
Filed under: Myotis lucifugus (little brown bat)
Lineage: Eukaryota; Metazoa; Chordata; Mammalia; Chiroptera; Vespertilionidae
Description: mir-9229 microRNA precursor family
Rfam family: mir-9229 microRNA precursor family
Source: Rfam by way of RNAcentral